This 371-nucleotide ribosomal RNA is filed under the name uncultured eukaryote. Its description in RNAcentral is "SSU rRNA". It matches the Rfam family "Eukaryotic small subunit ribosomal RNA", at positions 587 to 969 of the family's 1831-position model. The record is from RNAcentral.
AGCUCCAAUAGCGUAUAUUAAAGUUGUUGCAGUUAAAAAGCUCGUAGUUGGAUUUCUGCGAGGGUGCCAAUGUCCGCCGACGCGCGUGCGCAGCGGCGCCCUCGCAUCCUUCUGUUACCACCUCUCGGCAUUCACUUGCCGGUGGUCGGCUCAGAGAAUUUACCUUGAGAAAAUUAGAGUGUUUCAGGCAGGCUAGGCCGGAAUACAUUAGCAUGGAAUAAUGGAAUAGGACUACGGUCUCGUUGUUGGUUUGAGGGACUGCAGUAAUGCUUAAUAGGGAUAGUUGGGGGCAUUAGUAUUUAAUUGUCAGAGGUGAAAUUCUCAGAUUUGUUAAAGACUAACUUAUGCGAAAGCAUUUGCCAAGGAUGUUU